RNAcentral lists this microRNA precursor (78 nucleotides) under Cebus imitator (Panamanian white-faced capuchin). RNAcentral's name for it is "miRNA (ENSCCAG00000019305.1)". Lineage: Eukaryota; Metazoa; Chordata; Mammalia; Primates; Cebidae. The record is from RNAcentral.
UUAAGUUGGUGCAAAAGUAAUUGUGGUUUUUGUCAUUAAAAUGGGAAAACCACAAUUACUUUUGCACCAAUCUAAUAC